This 1288-nucleotide long non-coding RNA is filed under the name Apteryx owenii (little spotted kiwi). RNAcentral's name for it is "lncRNA (ENSAOWG00000015408.1)". Lineage: Eukaryota; Metazoa; Chordata; Aves; Apterygiformes; Apterygidae. The record is from RNAcentral.
CAAAUAUUCACUUUUGGCCUGGAUCUUGCAUUAAAGUUAUUGAGCUGCUCAUGGUAUUUUCUCUUAGAAUUUUUUUUUAAUUUGUUUUGCUGUUCAUGAAUAAUGUGAAAAAACCUUUUCAUGGAUGAUUUUUAUCCUGUGUUUUUAUGCCARAUAACCUUUAGGUCUGUAAGAGAACUGUGUGCUUUUCAUGCUAUUGCCCCCCUCUCCCCUUGCCUUGUGUUAGGUCCCACGUACACACUGAGGUCACGCUGAGCCCUACUGAAUCUGCACCAGGGUCRCUUCCACAGUACUCGGCAAAGUUUGGGAAAACCUUCCAACGGUCUGCUCAGAAGUCAGCCCUUUCUCUUCUCUCCCAUCAGGCAGGUCUGCAGACAACGUCAGGCUGGGACCAAUGUUAAACUUCUCAUCUCAAUUGUCAAAGUGUUAAAACCUCAGUCCAGGAAGUUGCAGUAAGAGAAUCGAACUAGUAGGCAGAAUUUUUGCCUUGGCUGCUGGUGUCCGUGUCUGUGUGCAAAUAACAGACUUUUUUCCCUGCCAGACUGGAAUUCCACUUCUUCUCAACUCUGCUAAAAGAACAUGGAAAUAAUUGAAAUAAUUCAUCCUCUCGAAGUCGCAGGCACCCUGGUGUCACCGCAAAGCGUAACUGCGGUACAAGAAGAAACAAUUAGUUAUUAAUAUGCAAGGAGGACAAAGAGUAGACCUGGAAAAUCUGCUGGGGCAUUGUGAAACGUUCAAGAAACCUUGUUCUUGUGCGAGGAAAUCUGUAACUCAAGGAAAGGACCUAAUUAAGGCUCCAAUUGUGGAAUUGUUGACCGAUAGCYGGAGGAAGCAUUAUGGCCGUACGUCACACAAGGGGACGGCAACCUGCCCAAGGUCAUGCAGGCUGGAAACGAACCCGCACGCGGGGAGCAGCGCCGCUGCGAGGAACGCCGCUAGACCGUUUGAAACCCCGCUUAUGCCUUGGCACUGGAGAAACCAGGAACGAAUCCAUCUGCCCAUCCACAUCCAUCCAGUCCUUGCAGUGUUGCCCUUUCCGACGUGCAUCGUUUCUGCUUUGGGCAGCCUAAUUUUAACAAUUUCCCAUCGGUUUCCAGGACGCAGCGCUUCCUUACUGAGACGGCCUUCUGGAAAGCUGCGUUUCCCCUUUCGCUCCUUUGGCUCCAAUUAUUUCCCGUCCUGCCUUUAUACCCCGUGAAGAAUUCUUCUGUCUUCGAUAUUAAUUACGGACAUCGUGCCAAAGUUUCUGAGCAUAAGCCAAUUAAAAUAAAUUGCUUUCAGGUGGGCA